Molecule: ribosomal RNA, 1508 nt
Filed under: uncultured bacterium
Lineage: Bacteria
Description: bacterial SSU rRNA
Rfam family: Bacterial small subunit ribosomal RNA
Source: RNAcentral
AGAGUUUGAUCCUGGCUCAGAUUGAACGCUGGCGGCAGGCCUAACACAUGCAAGUCGAGCGGAAACGAGUUAUCUGAACCUUCGGGGAACGAUAACGGCGUCGAGCGGCGGACGGGUGAGUAAUGCCUAGGAAAUUGCCCUGAUGUGGGGGAUAACCAUUGGAAACGAUGGCUAAUACCGCAUGAUGCCUACGGGCCAAAGAGGGGGACCUUCGGGCCUCUCGCAUCAGGAUAUGCCUAGGUGGGAUUAGCUAGUUGGUGAGGUAAGGGCUCACCAAGGCGACGAUCCCUAGCUGGUCUGAGAGGAUGAUCAGCCACACUGGAACUGAGACACGGUCCAGACUCCUACGGGAGGCAGCAGUGGGGAAUAUUGCACUAUGGGCGCAAGCCUGAUGCAGCCAUGCCGCGUGUCUGAAGAACGCCUUCGGGUUGUAAAGCACUUUCAGUCGUGAGGAAGGUAGUGUAGUUACUAGCUGUAUUAUUUGAACGUUAGCGCCGGACGAAGCAUCGGCUCACUCCAUGCCAGCAGCCGCGGUAAUCCCGACGGUGCUGCACGUACAUCGCGACUUACUGGGCGUAAAGCGCAUGCAGGUGGUUUGUUAAGUCAGAUGUGAAAGCCCGGGGCUCAACCUCGGAAUAGCAUUUGAAACUGGCAGACUAGAGUACUGUAGAGGGGGGUAGAAUUUCAGGUGUAGCGGUGAAAUGCGUAGAGAUCUGAAGGAAUACCGGUGGCGAAGGCGGCCCCCUGGACAGAUACUGACACUCAGAUGCGAAAGCGUGGGGAUCAUCAAGGAUUAGAUACCCUGGUAGUACACGCCGUAAACGAAGUUCACCUUGAAGUUGUGACAUUGAGCCGUGGCCUUCGAAGCUACGGCGUUAAGUAGACCGCUUGGGGAGUACGGUCGCAAGAUAAACUCAAUGAUUGACGGGGCCCGGCACAAGCGUGAGCAUGUGGUUUAAUUCGAUGCAACGCGAAGAACCUUACCUACUCUUGACAUCCAGAGAACUUUCCAGAGAUGGAUUGGUGCUUUCGGGGACUCUGAGACAGGUGCUGCAUGGCUGUCGUCAGCUCGUGUUGUGAAAUGUUGGGUUAAGUCCCGCAACGAGCGCAACCUUUAUCCUUGUUUGCCAGCGAGUAAUGUCGGGAACUCCAGGGAGACUGCCGGUGAUAAACCGGAGGAAGGUGGGGACGACGUCAAGUCAUCAUGGCCCUUACGAGUAGGGCUACACACGUGCUACAAUGGCGCAUACAGAGGGCGGCCAACUUGCGAAAGUGAGCGAAUCCCAAAAAGUGCGUCGUAGUCCGGAUUGGAGUCUGCAACUCGACUCCAUGAAGUCGGAAUCGCUAGUAAUCGUGGAUCAGAAUGCCACGGUGAAUACGUUCCCGGGCCUUGUACACACCGCCCGUCACACCAUGGGAGUGGGCUGCAAAAGAAGUAGGUAGUUUAACCUUCGGGGGGACGCUUACCACUUUGUGGUUCAUGACUGGGGUGAAGUCGUAACAAGGUA